Molecule: long non-coding RNA, 2305 nt
Organism: Lycium barbarum (goji berry)
Lineage: Eukaryota; Viridiplantae; Streptophyta; Magnoliopsida; Solanales; Solanaceae
Exons: 6
Source: RefSeq, a predicted model, not a curated record
UUGAGCAUCGUUUCUUCUUUUGAUAGCAUUUUUUAAAGUUUCUUCAAGCUUCUUCACGAUUUUUUGAAGCUUCUUCAACUUUCUAAGCUUCAACUUUCUAAUGUAAUAAAAACGAAAUUAUGAAAAAGAAAUGAUAGGGUACUUACAGUUACAGCUGAAGAGUUUGUUGGAUUAAUUUCUGAAGAAAAGAAAGUUUUAGGGCAGAAAGGAGAUAAAGUAAAAAUAUAGAUAAAUCCAGCAGCUCCAAAAAGAAGAGAAAAAACUGCAAUAGUAGAUAUAGAGUUCUUGGUCUAUAUAUCCAUUUUCAUUUCUUUGGGAAUAUUGUUAGUUUAGUGGAUUUUGAAUCUUUCGCAAAAGUCCAAUUUUUUUGGGGUUUUGCCUUUUUGUUGUUGAUACAGGAGAUUUGGGGGUGUGGUAGGUGAGGAAAUUUUUUCUUCUAUUUUGUUUUGUUUUAUCUUUCGGACUUAGGAAGGUCAUGUAAUGGAAAUGAAGUGGGAAAGAUAAAAGGAACUAAGAGCCUGUUUGGAAAGCCGCCCAGGUAAUUAUAAUUGGGUAUAAUUACAUAGUUUGGCCUAUUUUUUUUACUAAAUAAUUAUACAGUUAGGUGGGAAUUGAGUUUAAUUAAGAGGGUGUAAUUACACUCUUUAAUACUCAAGGGGUGGUUGAGAAUUUGGUGUGAUUACACCAUGUAAUUAUAGGGUUAAGAGCAAGGGUAGGGAAGACUAAGAGGGCUGCAGCAUUUAAAGUGCCCACAAAACAGCAAAGUUGAAACAAAAAAAAUGAACUCAAUCGAAUGAAAAUUUGACAAAAGGCUGGAAAUUGAAACGAAAUCAAAGAGGAAAAGCAAGUAAGAAAGAAAAGAGAUAGUGGGUACUUUAUAUAGCUUAGAUUUCACUUCAGCCUUCCAUGAAAAAUGAUAAUAAAACAAAGCUCAUUUUACAGAGCACCUUUUUUAGAAGCAUUUAGAUAGGGAAUAUGGGUAGAGAAUAGAAUCGAAGAAAGAUUGAACAGUGAUGAAACAUAAUAGUGUUAAUGUUGUUUCAAGUACAUAAUAGUUUUAAUGUUGUCUGAUUUCUGCCAUUACUAUAAAGUUGGAACUUUCUUUAUGUUAUUGACAGAGUUGGUUGAAUGUGUUGGUGAAAUUUCUUGGUUGGAUUUUAGGUUUAACUUUGUGUUGCGGUGAUUGUGUACAUAUGUGUGUUCAGCCUCUUUAAUUUAAGGACAAAUAUUCUAUAUUGACGGUCAACUUUCACUGAUAAAUGAAGACCAACAUUUCUGCUCCAUGGUGUGCUCAGAUUGUAAAUUGCCAUUUUUAAGAACUACUACACCAAGGCCAAUCUACUGCAUCCAGUGCGAAAGAUCCAUCCAACUUAUUCCCAGAAUCCAAUUUGAAGUUAUGGUCAUGGAUCACACUGGUAGCACAGUGGCCUCCAUCUCAGAUCAAUCAGCAACGAAGAUGUUGAACCUCAAUGUACAAGAGAUUUAUGACAUCUGCCAUGCACAAGUAUUUUAUAUCAUCGAAUUUAUAAACUUAUGACAAUCAUCAUGACUAACUAAAUUUUUCUCGCUGUAGAGAAAAGCACUACUUCUUGACAAUGCACAUAAACAAUUAGGACGAAAGACUUUCAGAAUCCAAAUGAAAAGAUUAUUUUCCAAAAAUCAAGAUAGGUUAGCUAUCAUGAAUUAUGAGGAAAAAGAACCUACAAACCAACCAUCACCGAUUGCACCAAUGACCAGCACUGCUGAAACAAGCAAGCACAAGGCUAUGAAGAUUAGCUUCGACCGAACAAAUCAGCAGAACCUGCCCAAAGACAAACCUUCCAGCACUAGAUAGAAAACAGAAACCAAGACUCCUCUCAAAAGGGAGUGAAAGCUACUAGAAAUGUUUUGCCAACAAGUUUUUGGAGCACAUCUUUUUGCCAAUGCACUGUCAAGCUACUAUCUUUUUGCCACAAGACUGCCUUUUUGAAAAGCUACAUUACAAUCAUAUGUGAUGCCCCCUGCUUUAAAAAGGUAUUUUGUCAACCAUGGCGUUGCACAACUACAACUUGCAGGAUUACUACUAAGAAAAUGCUUUUUCUGUAAAUAUGUAGUAUAAAUGAUGUAUAUAUGACAAUGCAAUCAUCAAUGUAAUAGACAAAUGUAUAUAUGCAUAAACAGUGGAAACUUAUUUUAGUUGUCUUAUACUAUCUUACCUCAUUACUUACAAUAAUCUUCUUACUGUUGGAUAUUUUAAAUCAUCCCUAAAUAUUGUCAAAGUGAACGAUUUUUACGUUGGUUUUGGGAAGAGCAUAAAUUGAUCAAA